CAUAUGUGGUGCCACGUCUGUUACGAGAUCAGUGGCAUGGAAAUUCUUGUCCUGUGAAAAAAAAUUACCUUUUGUCUGCUACAGCCUCCCCCCAGAAGCAAAACAGGCGAUGAAGAUGACGAUCGAAUCGGAGGAUUCUGUGGGUCUGAACAAUCCCGCUCUGAAAGCAAACAUCCUAAAAAAGCUCCAGGACAGAUUGGAGGCGAAAGGAGUGAGUGGAGUCUCCCUGGAGUGGACAGAGCAGGCUGGCAGAAAACAAGCAGAGGGAGAUAAAGGAGGCUGAACCAUGAACUGAUAGUCCCAACUUGGACUGAACCAGACAUGUUACAAUUAAGUUCAAAAUUAUCCUUUUUCUUUAUCAAUUUACAAGGAAGUUUAUUUCUGAUAACAAAAGAGACGGGUAUCUCUCGAACGA
Xiphophorus maculatus (southern platyfish) is the source of this 415-nucleotide long non-coding RNA. RefSeq lists it as uncharacterized. NCBI's taxonomy places the organism in Eukaryota, Metazoa, Chordata, Actinopteri, Cyprinodontiformes, Poeciliidae. The transcript is spliced from 3 exons. The record is from RefSeq and is a predicted model, not a curated record.